This 232-nucleotide ribosomal RNA is filed under the name uncultured bacterium. Its description in RNAcentral is "partial 16S ribosomal RNA". It matches the Rfam family "Bacterial small subunit ribosomal RNA", at positions 118 to 350 of the family's 1533-position model. The record is from RNAcentral.
UGGGCAACCUGCCCCUCUCUCUGGGAUAACCCCGGGAAACCGGAGCUAAUACCGGAUACUCCGGCUGGAUCGCAUGGUCCGGCCGGGAAAGGUCCGCCGGAGAGGGAUGGGCCCGCGGCCUAUCAGCUUGUUGGUGGGGUCAUGGCUCACCAAGGCGACGACGGGUAGCUGGUCUGAGAGGAUGGCCAGCCACACUGGGACUGAGACACGGCCCAGACUCCUACGGGAGGCA